GACGAACGCUGGCGGCGUGCCUAAUACAUGCAAGUUGAGCGCUGAAGGUUGGUACUUGUACCAACUGGAUGAGCAGCGAACGGGUGAGUAACGCGUGGGGAAUCUGCCUUUGAGCGGGGGACAACAUUUGGAAACGAAUGCUAAUACCGCAUAAAAACUUUAAACACAAGUUUUAAGUUUGAAAGAUGCAAUUGCAUCACUCAAAGAUGAUCCCGCGUUGUAUUAGCUAGUUGGUGAGGUAAAGGCUCACCAAGGCGAUGAUACAUAGCCGACCUGAGAGGGUGAUCGGCCACAUUGGGACUGAGACACGGCCCAAACCCCUACGGGAGGCAGCAGUAGGGAAGCUUCGGCAAUGGACGAAAGUCUGACCGAGAAACGCCGCGUGAGUGAAGAAGGGUUUCGGAUCGUAAAACUCGGUUGGUAGAGAAGAACGUUGGUGAGAGUGGAAAGCUCAUCAAGUGACGGUAACUACCCAGAAAGGGACGGCUAACUACGUG
Molecule: ribosomal RNA, 497 nt
Filed under: uncultured bacterium
Lineage: Bacteria
Description: partial 16S ribosomal RNA
Rfam family: Bacterial small subunit ribosomal RNA
Source: RNAcentral